UUCCGGUUGAUCCUGUCUUCCUGACUGCUAUCGGAUUGAUACAGCUGCUAGUCUUUGCGUAAUGCAAGGCAGACGGCUCAGUAACACGUAGUCAACUUACCCUAUGGACGAGGAUAAUCUCGGGAAACUGAGCAUAAUACUCGAUAGAUCAUAAUGCCUGGAAUGGUUUAUGGUUGAAAUGAUUCGUCGCCAUAGGAUGGGACUGCGGCCUAUCAGCUUGUUGGUGAGGUAAUGGCCCACCAAGGCGAUUACAGGUACGGGCUCUGAGAGGAGAAGCCCGGAGAUGGGUACUGAGACAAGGACCCAGGCCCUAUGGGGCGCAGCAGGCGAGAAAACUUUGCAAUGUGCCGAAAGCACGACAAGGUUAAUCCGAGUGAUUUCUGCUAAAGAAAUCUUUUGCAAGUCAUAAAACCACUAGUGAAUAAGGGGUGGGCAAGUUCUGGUGUCAGCCGCCGCGGUAAAACCAGCACCUCAAGUGGUCAGGAGGAUUAUUGGGCCUAAAGCAUCCGUAGCCUGUUUUGAAGUCUCCGGUAAAUCCAUCAACUCAAGUGAUGGGCUGCCGAAGAUACUGCAAAACUAGGGAAUGGGAAGGUAGACGGGACUCGAUAGGAAGGGGUAAAAUCCUUUGAUCUAUUGAUGACCACCUGUGGCGAAGGCGGUUUACCAGAACAUGUUCGACGGUGAGGGAUGAAAGCUGGGGGAGCAAACCGGAUUAGAUACCCGGGUAGUCCCAGCUGUAAACGAUGCAGACUCGGUGAUGCGUUGGCUUGUUGCUAGCGCAGUGCCGCAGGGAAGCCGUUAAGUUUGCCGCCUGGGAAGUACGUACGCAAGUAUGAAACUUAAAGGAAUUGGCGGGGGAGCACCACAAGGGGUGAAGCCUGCGGUUCAAUUGGAGUCAACGCCGGG
This 906-nucleotide ribosomal RNA is filed under the name uncultured crenarchaeote ODPB-A7. RNAcentral's name for it is "bacterial SSU rRNA". It matches the Rfam family "Archaeal small subunit ribosomal RNA", at positions 1 to 922 of the family's 1478-position model. The record is from RNAcentral. Lineage: Archaea; Thermoproteati; Thermoproteota.